AUGAACGCUGACAGAAUGCUUCACACAUGCAAGUCGAUGGGGAAGUGGUGCUUGCACCCUGGCAACCAUGGCGGACGGGUGAGUAACGCGUAAGGGACUUACCUGCAGGACUGGGAUAACAGGGGGAAACUCCUGACAAGACCGGAUAAUGUCAUGGAGCUGCAUGGCUUUAUGAUGAAAGGAGACGCCUGCGGAGAGCCUUGCGUCCUAUUAGCUAGUUGGUGAGGUAAUGGCUCACCAAGGCGAAGAUAGGUAGCCGGCCUGAGAGGGUGGACGGCCACAAGGGGACUGAGAUACGGCCCUUACUCCUACGGGAGGCAGCAGUGGGGAAUAUUGGACAAUGGGGGCAACCCUGAUCCAGCAAUUCUGUGUGCACGAAGAAGGUUUUCGGAUUGUAAAGUGCUUUCAGCAGGGAAGAAGUAAGUGACGGUACCUGCAGAAGAAGCGACGGCUAAAUACGUG
RNAcentral lists this ribosomal RNA (462 nucleotides) under uncultured bacterium. Its description in RNAcentral is "partial 16S ribosomal RNA". It matches the Rfam family "Bacterial small subunit ribosomal RNA", at positions 29 to 507 of the family's 1533-position model. The record is from RNAcentral.